RNAcentral lists this unclassified non-coding RNA (442 nucleotides) under Hevea brasiliensis (rubber tree). The record is from RNAcentral. Lineage: Eukaryota; Viridiplantae; Streptophyta; Magnoliopsida; Malpighiales; Euphorbiaceae.
GGACUUGUCAUCUGUUUUUCUCCUCUUCUUAUUUUGCACUCUUUUGUUCCUGGUAAUAUUCUAUUUUCACACCUUUCGCGAGAGGGACUCGUCUGUUCACAGGAAGAAAUUAAGAAGAAACUAAAAGAAAAACAAGAAGCAAUGAGCAAGGCAGAGCUAAUAUUCGUUCCAGCUCCUGGAGUUGGUCACAUAGUUUCCACCAUUGAAUUCGCUAAGAGUCUGAUCCUCCGUGAUAAUCAAAUACUGGUUACCAUUCUCGUCAUGAAACUACCCAUCACUCCUUUUAUUGAUGCAUACACCAAAUCACUCACUGCUUCCCAACCCAAUAUCCGUCUCAUUAACCUCCCUCAAGUGGAUCUUCCUUCUCCUGAACUUUUGGCCAAAUCUGUAGAAAGCUAUAUUUGUGCCGUUAUCGAAAGUCACAAACCCCAUGUGCAAAAAA